RNAcentral lists this ribosomal RNA (497 nucleotides) under uncultured bacterium. RNAcentral's name for it is "partial 16S ribosomal RNA". It matches the Rfam family "Bacterial small subunit ribosomal RNA", at positions 28 to 507 of the family's 1533-position model. The record is from RNAcentral.
GAUGAACGCUGGCGGCGUGCCUAACACAUGCAAGUCGAACGGUGACACGCUAAGCUUUUUCUUGUGUGGGUAGCGGGGGCCGGCGGGGUAAUAACUCGAUAGUAACCUGCUCUCUCGUGGUGGAUAACGGCAUGAAAGUGACGCUAAUACGGGAUAUUCUGUGCCGGUUGAAUGAUGGGGGCAGGAAAGAUUUUGUGUCUGUGUGGGAUGGGCUCGCGGCCUAUUAGCUAGUUGGUGGGGUGACGGCCUACCAAGGCGACGGUGCGUAGCCGGCCUGAGGGGAGGAUCGGCCACCCUGGAACUGCGACACGGCCCAGACGCCUACUGGAGGCAGCAGUGGGGAAUAUUCGACAAUGGGCGACAGCCUGAUGGAGCAACGCCGCGUGGGUGAGGAAGGACUUCGGAUCGUAAAGCUCUUUUUUUGGGAAAGAACAAGUGCUGCCUAAUUUAUGGGUGUCUUGACGGUACCUAAACAAUAAGCCCCGGCUAACUACGUG